RNAcentral lists this ribosomal RNA (1526 nucleotides) under Acinetobacter pittii ANC 4050. RNAcentral's name for it is "bacterial SSU rRNA". It matches the Rfam family "Bacterial small subunit ribosomal RNA". The record is from RNAcentral. Lineage: Bacteria; Pseudomonadati; Pseudomonadota; Gammaproteobacteria; Moraxellales; Moraxellaceae.
AGAGUUUGAUCAUGGCUCAGAUUGAACGCUGGCGGCAGGCUUAACACAUGCAAGUCGAGCGGAGAGAGGUAGCUUGCUACUGAUCUUAGCGGCGGACGGGUGAGUAAUGCUUAGGAAUCUGCCUAUUAGUGGGGGACAACAUUUCGAAAGGAAUGCUAAUACCGCAUACGUCCUACGGGAGAAAGCAGGGGAUCUUCGGACCUUGCGCUAAUAGAUGAGCCUAAGUCGGAUUAGCUAGUUGGUGGGGUAAAGGCCUACCAAGGCGACGAUCUGUAGCGGGUCUGAGAGGAUGAUCCGCCACACUGGGACUGAGACACGGCCCAGACUCCUACGGGAGGCAGCAGUGGGGAAUAUUGGACAAUGGGCGCAAGCCUGAUCCAGCCAUGCCGCGUGUGUGAAGAAGGCCUUAUGGUUGUAAAGCACUUUAAGCGAGGAGGAGGCUACUGAAGUUAAUACCUUCAGAUAGUGGACGUUACUCGCAGAAUAAGCACCGGCUAACUCUGUGCCAGCAGCCGCGGUAAUACAGAGGGUGCAAGCGUUAAUCGGAUUUACUGGGCGUAAAGCGCGCGUAGGCGGCUAAUUAAGUCAAAUGUGAAAUCCCCGAGCUUAACUUGGGAAUUGCAUUCGAUACUGGUUAGCUAGAGUGUGGGAGAGGAUGGUAGAAUUCCAGGUGUAGCGGUGAAAUGCGUAGAGAUCUGGAGGAAUACCGAUGGCGAAGGCAGCCAUCUGGCCUAACACUGACGCUGAGGUGCGAAAGCAUGGGGAGCAAACAGGAUUAGAUACCCUGGUAGUCCAUGCCGUAAACGAUGUCUACUAGCCGUUGGGGCCUUUGAGGCUUUAGUGGCGCAGCUAACGCGAUAAGUAGACCGCCUGGGGAGUACGGUCGCAAGACUAAAACUCAAAUGAAUUGACGGGGGCCCGCACAAGCGGUGGAGCAUGUGGUUUAAUUCGAUGCAACGCGAAGAACCUUACCUGGCCUUGACAUAGUGAGAACUUUCCAGAGAUGGAUUGGUGCCUUCGGGAACUUACAUACAGGUGCUGCAUGGCUGUCGUCAGCUCGUGUCGUGAGAUGUUGGGUUAAGUCCCGCAACGAGCGCAACCCUUUUCCUUAUUUGCCAGCGAGUAAUGUCGGGAACUUUAAGGAUACUGCCAGUGACAAACUGGAGGAAGGCGGGGACGACGUCAAGUCAUCAUGGCCCUUACGGCCAGGGCUACACACGUGCUACAAUGGUCGGUACAAAGGGUUGCUACCUAGCGAUAGGAUGCUAAUCUCAAAAAGCCGAUCGUAGUCCGGAUUGGAGUCUGCAACUCGACUCCAUGAAGUCGGAAUCGCUAGUAAUCGCGGAUCAGAAUGCCGCGGUGAAUACGUUCCCGGGCCUUGUACACACCGCCCGUCACACCAUGGGAGUUUGUUGCACCAGAAGUAGCUAGCCUAACUGCAAAGAGGGCGGUUACCACGGUGUGGCCGAUGACUGGGGUGAAGUCGUAACAAGGUAGCCGUAGGGGAACCUGCGGCUGGAUCACCU